Molecule: long non-coding RNA, 693 nt
Organism: Hemiscyllium ocellatum (epaulette shark)
Lineage: Eukaryota; Metazoa; Chordata; Chondrichthyes; Orectolobiformes; Hemiscylliidae
Exons: 5
Source: RefSeq, a predicted model, not a curated record
UGAGUCGCUGAUUUGAGUCUUUAAAACGUACCGCGAGCGCGGGAGUCCUCCAUUUCUGUCUUUCAGCAGCAGUGGCAGCUGCAACUCAAAGGGCGGGAGCUUGCCGGGAGCAAUUUCAGCUCUUUUCAGAGGAAGCAUGAACUAGAUUACAAGACAGUGCGAAGAGUUUCUACUUCAUUGCAGUGAGAGUCCAGGAAAGAAGACGAUGAUGGACAGCAUGUGUGGAGGUUUGGAAGAACAAGAAAAAGCACACUAUGUAGUUACAUCUGUAAAGAAACAGGAGGACGACUGAAGAUGAAAUUGGCCAUGAGUUUGGAAAGUGCCGUCUGAGGAUUUUUGGAGAAUUUCUGCAGUGCAUCUUGUGGAUAGUACACAUUGCUACUAAUAAGCGUCAGUAGUGGAGGGAGUGAAUGCAGUGCCAAUUAAGCAGGCUGCUUCAUCCUAGACGGAGUCAAGCUUCUUGAGUGUUGUUGGAGAUACACCCAUCCAGGAUGAGGGAGUCACCAGCUGGUUCAGCAUUAAUUGCCCAUCCCUAUUUGCCAGAGGAGAAGUUAAAAGUCAACCACAUUGCUAUGGGUCUGGAGUCACAUGUAGAUCAGACCAGAUGGCGGUGCCAGCACAGUAGAGUUUGGAUUCCCGAGCCCAUCCACUCUCUCUCCUCUUCGUAUUUUGACCUUUUCUUUUCUUGAGACU